This 546-nucleotide long non-coding RNA is filed under the name Astyanax mexicanus (Mexican tetra). Its description in RNAcentral is "lncRNA (ENSAMXG00005000616.1)". Lineage: Eukaryota; Metazoa; Chordata; Actinopteri; Characiformes; Acestrorhamphidae. The record is from RNAcentral.
AGAAAGAGAGCAGGGCGGAUUUCAGAGCUCAGCGCUUUAUAUUUCACCCGGUAUUAAGUGAUGUGGUGCUGAUACCUGGUUUAUUAUAAUCUGUGCCCUGGUCAUGCUUUAAACUGGGAGAGCAGCAGGUCCAGUGUCUAGUUCUGUGAAAAGAGCACAAACACCAGGAUGGAUCCUCCUUACUUCAGCAGGAAGGAAGAAGUAUAUGACUUGAAACUGCAGACAUUUAGAGCAGAACCUCCAGAGCCCAGCUGUGUGUCUAUGAAGAGCAACUAUUCCAUGGAGCAGCCUCAUAAUUUCAGUAAUGAAAGAAGCAGCACUGAUCUGAGAAAUACAUUCAGAGCAGAAUCUCCAGAGCCCAGCUGUGUGUCUAUUAAGAGCAGCCACUCGAUGCAUCAGCCUAUUUAUUUCAGUAAUGAAAGAAGCAGUACUGAUCUGAGACAUACAUUCAGAGCAGAAUCUCCAGAGCCCAGCUGUGUGUCUAUUAAGAGCAGCCACUCGAUGCAUCAGCCUAUUUAUUUCAGUAAUGAAAGAAGCAGUACUGAU